AGUGAACGCUGGCGGUAGGCCUAACACAUGCAAGUCGAACGGCAGCACAGUAAGAGCUUGCUCUUACGGGUGGCGAGUGGCGGACGGGUGAGGAAUACAUCGGAAUCUACUUUUUCGUGGGGGAUAACGUAGGGAAACUUACGCUAAUACCGCAUACGACCUACGGGUGAAAGCAGGGGAUCUUCGGACCUUGCGCGAUUGAAUGAGCCGAUGUCGGAUUAGCUAGUUGGCGGGGUAAAGGCCCACCAAGGCGACGAUCCGUAGCUGGUCUGAGAGGAUGAUCAGCCACACUGGAACUGAGACACGGUCCAUGCUCCUACGGGAGGCAGCAGUGGGGAAUAUUGGACAAUGGGCGCAAGCCUGAUCCAGCCAUACCGCGUGAGUGAAGAAGGCCUUCGGGUUGUAAAGCCCUUUUGUUGGGAAAGAAAAGCAGCAGGUUAAUACCCCGCUGUUCUGACGGUACCCAAAGAAUAAGCACCGGCUAACUUCGUG
RNAcentral lists this ribosomal RNA (492 nucleotides) under uncultured bacterium. RNAcentral's name for it is "partial 16S ribosomal RNA". It matches the Rfam family "Bacterial small subunit ribosomal RNA", at positions 29 to 507 of the family's 1533-position model. The record is from RNAcentral.